GCCAACAUGGCUGAAGAGAAGGAGUAUUGUGAUCUUGAAGAGUUUAGUCGCGAUGGAGACAGUGAAUCUGAGCAGGAUGGUGAUGAGGAGGAAGAAAUAGAGAUGUGGGAUCUCACAUCUCCUCCAGAAUAUGAGUGGUUUCAUGGUUGCUUGGAUCGUAAGACAUCAGAAGAGCGUCUUAUGAAAGCAGGUCGUGCAGGCUCGUUUCUUGUAAGAGAGAGCGAGAGAAAGCCUGGCAGUUUUUGUAUCUCUUUUCUUUCUCACAAUGGCAUCAAUCAUUUCCGUAUCACUGCGGUGUGUGGAGAUUAUUAUAUCGGCGGUCGUCAGUUCCAGUCGGUCAGUGAUCUUGUGGGAUAUUAUAUGAAAAUCUCCACUCUCUUGGAAGAUGAACAGUUAGAGUUUCCUGUACCGCCACCAGAGCCAAUAGCUGAUCGAAGGCGAGUAAUUGCAAAGUAUCCAUAUGAAAAGACACCAGAUACUGAUGAAUUAAGUUUUAGUCAGGGAGAUAUAUUUCUUGUUGAAGCUAAUAUCAAUGAUGACUGGCUGUGGGUUCGGUCAAUGAGAAAUCGACAUGAGAGUGGUCUCAUACCUGUUGCUCUUGUAGAGAAAACGGAUGAUCAUAUGGAUCCCUAUGAGGGAAGAGAGUGGUUUAAUAGCAGGAUAACAAAAGAUGAAACACGAGACCUUUUGAUGGGAUCUCCAAUUGGAAGUUUUAUUGUGCGGCCAAGUGACACAGUUCGUGGUGACUACUCUUUGUCUGUUCGUAUAAGUCAGAGUGUUUCUCGAUUUCGUAUUCAACAUCAGAAGCAUCAAUAUGUGAUGGGUGGCAGACUGUUUGACAGCUUGGACUCUAUUAUUGAGCGUUACAAGACAGAACAUGUCGCCGAGAACUUGUCACUGCAAUAUCCUUCAAAAUGGAGAUCUGGAUCUGCCAAUCGAGACUCGACUGUUGGAGAGGUAGAGGCUUAUGCUGCAUUUCGAUCGCGUCCUGGACCAGUUAUUGUCAAACGUAUUGAUACAUCAAAGAAAGACUGGUUAUUUAAGAAAGGAUCAAAAAGCAACAGAUGGAAACAGCUAUUGUUUACUCUAAACAGUUCUGAGCAGCAGCUUUUUAUGCAUGAAAAUGAGAAGAGAGCAAAGCCAAAAGGCCUUAUUGAUCUCAGCUAUGCAACUCUAAUGUCUGUUCAUCCAUCAUUGUUUGGAAAACCACACUGUUUUCAAAUUAUUGUAAGAGCUUUCAACGAGAAACAAUUUUACUAUCUGUGUGCAGACACAGAGGAAGCAAAAAGAGAUUGGUUGUGUGCUAUUGCAAAGUGUUGUGGCAGUAGAAACAGUCGACUUGGAGCGAGUCGUCAUGGAGUACGGCAGCUGCAGAGUCUGCAUUUGACGGUUGUUGAGGCAAGGAAACUGCCAAAACAUUCACAUGCUUUCUGUCGAAUUCACUUUGACGAUAUGAAAGUGGCACGGACUCCUACUAAGGUGGCAAGUAAAGAGACACAGAAAGACAGUUGUGAAAUAAUAUGGGACGAAGUAUUCAAAUUUGAGGAUCUUCCAUUGGGUCUCACUGCUGUUUCUGUUGGAGUUUACAUGAAGAAUAAACGGUUGAAAGACAGUCAUGUUGGUUCUGUUGAUAUUCCAUUAUCAAGUUUACCAAAUUUGUCUGAGCAAGAUGAGUGGUAUGUACUUGGAGCAGCAAAGGGUCAAGGGAAGGCUGGACCAUCUGCAAGAAUUAAAGUCAAAUUUAUGCAUGAAGUGAUUAUGAGUAUUAUGAGCUAUGAGCCUCUCAAGGAGUUGUUGCUUGCUCAAGACUUGCUGGCUAUUAAAGCCUUAGAAAGUGUUUGUAAGGACAGCGUGAGGAAAGAACUAGCUGCUACUCUUGUAAGAAUAUUUAGACGAGAGAAGCAAGUCAUACAGCUAUUAAGAACAAUUGCAUCACAAGAAAUAGAAAGAGAAGGAGAUAUUGGCACAAUGUUUCGUGGAAACACUUUGGCUACGUUGUUGAUGGAUCAGUUUAUGGGAAUGGUUGCUGUACCAUAUCGUCAAUCUACACUUAGAAAUACCAUACAAUAUGUCAUACAACUUGAGCAGUCAUGUGAGCUUGAUCCUACUUUGGUAUCUCAACAUACACCAGUUAUUAGUGAGAACUUGGAACGUCUAAUUGGUGUGUUAGAGAGACUUCUGAAAGAAAUUUACAACUCAUGCGACAGCUGUCCCAUUGCUCUUCGUUAUUUGUUUGGUUGCCUUCAGAAAUCUGCUUCAGAAAAAUGGCCAGAAAGGCCUGAGGCAAGAACACGAAUUGUAAGUGCAUUCUUGUUCCUCCGUCUUCUUGGUCCUGCACUACUCAAGCCUAAAAUGUUUAAUCUGACAAGUGAACAGCCAUCAGAUACAGCCAAUAGAACACUCAAACUGCUCACCAAGGCUCUUCAGACUUUGGCCAACCUUCUUUCAUUUACAGGAAAGAAAGAACCAUACAUGGCUCAAGUCAACCCCUUCCUUGAACGAAAUCAAAAGAAAAUGGUGUCUUUCAUUGAUGAGUUGUCGGUAUGUACAAUCUCAGUCACAUGGAAUUGGCUUAAAUAUUCCACAUUGUCCUGUGACUGAUGGUGAUGUUUCAUCAAUUGAUUUGGCUCGUGAGUUGGCAACAGUUCAUCAUCUUUGUGUUUCUCAUCAUGAACAGCUGGAUAAAUUGAGUCAAGAUCAGCCUCAUGUAAAGCGGUUGACAGCCGUUACAUUGAUGCUGACACAAGAUGAAGAGACUCUAACAGCCCAUGAUAAUAGCUAGUGAUUGACUGACAUGCAUGUGGGUUUCUAUUCUAUCGAUACAAUGGGUGAAGAAGAUAUAAGACUUUGUAACCAUUUCAUAAUAACAUGUUCUGAAAAUGAAA
Corticium candelabrum is the source of this 2885-nucleotide RNA transcript. It is a transcript of the gene named ras GTPase-activating protein 1-like, with no coding region annotated. The record is from RefSeq and is a predicted model, not a curated record. The transcript is spliced from 25 exons. Lineage: Eukaryota; Metazoa; Porifera; Homoscleromorpha; Homosclerophorida; Plakinidae.